UACGUAGGUGGCGAGCGUUGUCCGGAUUUACUGGGCGUAAAGGGAGCGUAGGCGGAUUUUUAAGUGAGAUGUGAAAUACUCGGGCUCAACUUGAGUGCUGCAUUUCAAACUGGAAGUCUAGAGUGCAGGAGAGGAGAAUGGAAUUCCUAGUGAAGCGGUGAAAUGCGUAGAGAUUAGGAAGAACACCAGUGGCGAAGGCGAUUCUCUGGACUGUAACUGACGCUGAGGCUCGAAAGCGUGGGGAGCAAACAGG
This 253-nucleotide ribosomal RNA is filed under the name uncultured bacterium. RNAcentral's name for it is "partial 16S ribosomal RNA". It matches the Rfam family "Bacterial small subunit ribosomal RNA", at positions 524 to 776 of the family's 1533-position model. The record is from RNAcentral.